UUCUAUGGCCAAGUUUUAUAAAAGGAGUCAUCACUUGCAUUGUCUGGAAUGGCAUCUUAAAGGAAGCAUUAGCCCUUUGCUGGUGACACUGGGUAAGAUGCAUUGAUUUGCUGGAAACUUGCAGACAAUGUUGAUGCUACUCCUUUCCUAACCACUGCUCUGAACAUGUAUCUCAUUUUCAGGUGUAAUGAACCUCUCUAAGCUUUUCCUUGUCUCAUCUUCCAGUAUGAACAUUUUUGGCAGUUACCCAUGACAGUCUGAUGGGAAAGAAGAGUGUACCACUUGCUGAUUAUUUUUUUCCUCUUUUGUGGUGAAAAAGCACCUGUAGGGUGUUUAUCACCUCGUCUCUUCUUCAGGAAAGAGAACAGACUGGCUGCAGCAGCUUCAGCACUAACACGCUGUCAGGUGCAGAAAAGCUGACUAAGACCAUCUGGCAUUCUCUGUAUGGACCUCUGCCCUGGAGCAUCUAAUGCGAUUUGGGAAUCAGGUGCCCAAUGUUAUUCCUAGAGAGAGUCAGAGCCAACCCUGCUGCAACAGAAGAGGUGGGUGAUGUCUGGACUCAUUUGGUUGACCAGGUGGAAGGAGCCAGCCACGGUGUCGGCAGUGCCUGUGGUCCGUGUGCCAGCACAGCACAGCACAGCACCCUGCUGGCCUGGCCAUCGGCCCUCCCUGAGCCUUUCCAGGUGCAGGUGGCACCAGCUCUGAAACACAGCAGGCACGAAGGCAGGGGCACUGUGAGACCACGAAAGCCUGGGUCGUUGAUGAGGCUGUUAGCACUCUUUCAGUCCUUUAACAUCCAAGUCCUUACGAGAAGACACUGGCUUAAUCUCAGCUCAACUGGAAAAAUGCCGAUGACUGGAAAUGUCAUCAGCUGCCUGUGGGCCAGGCUGGCCCUGAGCUGAUAAGGAGCAAUACAAAAUAAAAAUGUCAACACAAAACUGGAGAAACACAGAGGGUGGUUGCAGCUCUUCUCCAUCCUGUAGGAAGCAGGGCCCCUCUGUCACCAGUCCUAGGAGCUGAACUUUCCCUAAAGCCUCAGUGACCAACUCCGCUCUUCCUUACAAAAGGGAAAGGUGGCUGCUCUCAAUG
Non-coding RNA from Zonotrichia albicollis (white-throated sparrow), 1089 nucleotides. The record is from RefSeq and is a predicted model, not a curated record. Lineage: Eukaryota; Metazoa; Chordata; Aves; Passeriformes; Passerellidae.